RNAcentral lists this small nuclear RNA (121 nucleotides) under Dermacentor silvarum. RNAcentral describes it as "U5 spliceosomal RNA". It matches the Rfam family "U5 spliceosomal RNA". Rfam says of the family: U5 RNA is a component of both types of known spliceosome. The precise function of this molecule is unknown, though it is known that the 5' loop is required for splice site selection and p220 binding, and that both the 3' stem-loop and the Sm site are important for Sm protein binding and cap methylation. Lineage: Eukaryota; Metazoa; Arthropoda; Arachnida; Ixodida; Ixodidae. The record is from RNAcentral.
CUGCUCAGGUCUCUCCUCAUUCUUCGAAUUAUUCUUUCGCCUUUUACUAAAGAAUACCGUGGGGAGGGACACUCAAAUGAGCCAUAGGCGAAUUUUUGGAAGGCCCUGCCCGUUUGGGCAG